UCCGGUUUGACACCGGCAGUCUCUCAUGAGUCCCCGACAUUACUCGCUGGCAACAUAAGACAGGGGUUGCGCUCGUUGCGGGACUUAACCCAACACCUCACGGCACGAGCUGACGACAACCAUGCACCACCUGUCACCCAGUCCGAAGAGGCACCCAUCUCUGAGUGUUCCCGGGUGAUGUCAAACCCAGGUAAGGUUCUUCGCGUUGCAUCGAAUUAAUCCGCAUGCUCCGCCGCUUGUGCGGGCCCCCGUCAAUUCCUUUGAGCUUUAGCCUUGCGGCCGUACUCCCCAGGCGGGGCACUUAACGCGUUAGCUGCGCCACCGAAGAGUUAAACCUCUCCAACGGCUAGUUCUCAUCGUUUACGGCGUGGACUAC
Molecule: unclassified non-coding RNA, 376 nt
Filed under: uncultured Actinomycetes bacterium
Lineage: Bacteria; Bacillati; Actinomycetota; Actinomycetes
Description: uncultured actinobacterium contains 16S-23S intergenic spacer region
Source: RNAcentral